AGUGAACGCUGGCGGUAGGCCUAACACAUGCCAGUCGAACGGCAGCACAGUAAGAGCUUGCUCUUACGGGUGGCGAGUGGCGGACGGGUGAGGAAUACAUCGGAAUCUACUUUUUCGUGGGGGAUAACGUAGGGAAACUUACGCUAAUACCGCAUACGACCUACGGGUGAAAGCAGGGGAUCUUCGGACCUUGCGCGAUUGAAUGAGCCGAUGUCGGAUUAGCUAGUUGGCGGGGUAAAGGCCCACCAAGGCGACGAUCCGUACCUGGUCUGAGAGGAUGAUCAGCCACACUGGAACUGAGACACGGUCCAGACUCCUACGGGAGGCAGCAGUGGGGAAUAUUGGACAAUGGGCGCAAGCCUGAUCCAGCCAUACCGCGUGGGUGAAGAAGGCCUUCGGGUUGUAAAGCCCUUUUGUUGGGAAAGAAAAGCAGCAGGUUAAUACCCCGCUGUUCUGACGGUACCCAAAGAAUAAGCACCGGCUAACUUCGUG
Molecule: ribosomal RNA, 492 nt
Filed under: uncultured bacterium
Lineage: Bacteria
Description: partial 16S ribosomal RNA
Rfam family: Bacterial small subunit ribosomal RNA
Source: RNAcentral